Oreochromis aureus is the source of this 1280-nucleotide long non-coding RNA. RefSeq lists it as uncharacterized. The record is from RefSeq and is a predicted model, not a curated record. NCBI's taxonomy places the organism in Eukaryota, Metazoa, Chordata, Actinopteri, Cichliformes, Cichlidae. The transcript is spliced from 5 exons.
AAACCUCAUUAUAACUGUCUUUGAGUGUCCUACAUUCAGACAUGAGGUCAUGUUCAGUCAGAAGGUCAAUGUUAAAAACAAUGGAAUUGGCCUUCCUAGUAAAAGCUGCUUGCACAGAGGACCGCCUUUUCUUUAAUUCUUCUCGGCAUGUCAUACUGACUUCUCUCCUCGUUUUAUUACCGGCGUUAUUCCUUUUGCCCUCAACAAAGAUGGCGGCGACCCACUUCCGGUCGCUUAGCGGCUAGUAACUGAAUUAAAAGUUCGUUUUCGGCGGCUGGUUUAUCCUAUGCCAGCGCCCUAAUAGUCCCAGCAAAGAAAUCCACACACAGUCUCUCACGUACGAGGGCUCAACGGUGUUUUGAGAGCGAAGUCACGUCGAUCGGCCGUGACAAUCGGCCGGGCUCCGUCUAAUCGCUGGAUUCUCCGUAGUCGACACAGACCCUCCUCCGCUUCUCCGUCGCGGGGACUGGCUAAGUGUUGAUUACUCACUCCUAAUCGUGUUUUUGUGUGUAAAGAAGAAGAUUAAGAAUGUGCAACAAGAUAAGGGCAUGUACAACCAAGAAGGAGGGAGUUCUUCAUGCAAGGCUGAGCCCACUUGUCCCCAGUCAGAUAAUAUAGUAGUGGCAGACGCAGGCGACAAUGCAGAUAUUGGAGACUGUCCUAGUAAUGACAUAUGAUGUGUCUACCAUGCUGUAAAAUGCUGAUGGGGUAUUGUCACCAAGCCGCAGGCUAUGCAGGCAGACGGGAGGCGUGGACACCCAAGUUAUGUGAAUGCAGUCCAGCUGUUAAGUGAUGACAUAUACACCAUGCUACUGGAUCCCAACUACACUGUGUUCUUUAAGGCUGUUGUCUUUUUAAUGUGUUUUAAUGCUUCGUGUCUCGUUCUAUUUAAUCUGAAAUAGCCCCUAAAAAUAGUCUGGCCUCUCUGGGUUUAUAUUAGCACUAUUCUGCAGCACGUUUUAAAGCUCAGUUUUAAAACCUUACGAUGUAGCUACAGCCCAUCGACUCAGGAUUUGCCAGACAUAUUUUAACAAUAUUUUAACUGGUGAGAAAAUACACUCUGAGGCUUAUAAAGAUUUAAAUGGGUAUAUGAAGCUCAGGAUCAGGAAUUUUUGAUAGCGAAGAAUCCAAAGGAUAUUAAUGUGUAUAUAUUCAUCCAUCCACUUCCGCUUAUCCUUUUCAGGGUCACGGGGGGCACUGGAGCCUGUCCCAGGGCAAGAGGCAGGGUACACCCUGGACAGGUCGCCAGUCUGUCAGAGACAGACAACCAUUCGCACUCA